This is a long non-coding RNA of Sapajus apella (tufted capuchin), 1805 nucleotides long. RefSeq lists it as uncharacterized. The record is from RefSeq and is a predicted model, not a curated record. Lineage: Eukaryota; Metazoa; Chordata; Mammalia; Primates; Cebidae. The transcript is spliced from 2 exons.
UCAAAUAUGGCUUUAGCUUUUGGUUGCUUCUUAAAACAUAAUAAAAUUUUUAUAGAAGCACCAAAGAUUUAAUUAUUUGUGCUCUGAAGUCUGUACCUUCCCCUGAUAUCAAAUAGGUUUGCACCUGUGUAUCUUGAGGGCAGAAUGUGGGCUUCUGGGAAAAACUUGUUUCUGUCUAAAAUGUAUUUAAAAGAGAGAACUUUGGCAAAGUACCAGUGAAGGAGUGGUGGAUGACUGUGACAUGUGGGAAACUUUAUUUCCUCAGGAAAAUAUCUGGAGAUAUGGCAAAGGAAGAAAAAUGAGUUUUGAAAAAAAAAAAAUUAAGGCCAAGGGAGAUUUUCAUUAAAGUUUUAGAGGCAGAGAUUUAUUUUCUUAAAAUAUCUUAUGGAUUUAGAAGAUGUCACAAGCUUAAGGAAGCCAAAGAUGAAGAAUCAGUGGAAGGAUAACUAAUUCCUGACCUAGCCCUCUGCUAUUGUUUCGCCAAUUCUUUCCAUUAAUUUCUCACAAUUCUGUGGGGUGUACUAGUGACUAUUUCGCAGUAAUGACAGGUGAGUGGAUACGAUAUGUGGUUCCUUCUAGUCAAAGAUUUUAAGAUGUUGUUCGUUAUUUACACAUUUGCCCCUUUCUUUGGCUGGAUUUAUAGUGACAAGGCCCCAGGGUGUGGCAGAUCCAGAGGUGGCAUAAGGCUGAGUUCUUGCAUCACUGCAUACAGGAACGGCACCAGGAAUGCUCAUCUUGGCCAACAUGUGAAUGGGAAAUAAACCUGCAUUGCGUGAAGAACCUGAACUUUUGGAGUUUAUUUGUUUCAGCAGGAGGAAAACAGCAUGUUUUGUGUUUCCCUUUGGCUUGAUGUAGCAGCUAAUGGUUGAUGAUUCUUGGUGGGGAAUAAUGGAGACAAGGAAGAUGUAUGUGAAUCCUGAACUUCAACUGGUGCUCGCGUGUCAGUUGGACAUGCUAAAGACUAAAAGGGAAGUAUCUCCAGCUUGCAUGCAUGACACCAUCAUCAUCAUACUACAUCAUCAUUGUAGCAGCCAGUGUGACCGUGCAUCUCUGUUUGACCAGGAAAAUCCCAGUUUAAUCCUAAGAUGCUGCCAUUCUUAACAACACUUUUUACUUUCAAAGCUGUCCCAAUGUGAUGAUAAAUUAUAUGGCCACUCAAGUCAUAAAUGAUAUUUAUUGAGCACUGAUUAUACACUAGGCGUUUACUUAUUAUGCUAUUUGUCUUCAUAACAACUUUAUGAAUUAGAUGUUCCGUUUAGCCUCAUGUUAAGGAUGAUGAAAUUGAGGCAGCAUUUAAGAGACUUACCCAUAGUUUUCCAGCUUGAACCCAGGCAAACUGUCUCCAGAACCCAAAAUCUUAAACACUUUACUGCUUCUUGCACAGAAAAUAUGGCGAUCUGCUCCACAUGGCUUCCUACUGUCAGGUUCAUCAUAAAAUACUAUCAACCCAGGGGAAAUAUCUGAAUCUCUGACUUUUUUUACCCUGAAACCAUGUGUUGGAAAAUGGGAAUCUAGUUAAUUUUAGCCAUUUUAAUCUUGUUGUCCAAUUUAACUUAUAAAUGAGCUGCUUUUUCUCUUAAGAGUCUGCCUACAGAGCGCCCAAUUUAGUUAAACCACAAGUUUAGGAUUAAAAAGGACUUGAAAGGCUGCAGAUUAUUUGAGUUAGUCCACAGGAGUUGCUCUGCCAUACUGUCAUUUGUUAAAAACCAACCUUGUCAUUUACGCACAUUGCCUCAUCUUGCCUCUAUUUGUCACCCACAUGCCACAUUAUUAUCCACAUUUAAAAAAUGAAAAAAUGUACUGAA